UACUAUUAAUUUAUAAAAUUAUUAUUAUUAUUUUUAAUUAUUUUUAGGAUGAUGUGGAAUUGAAACAAGACAAGAGGAUGCCCCUGUCAUUGAGACUGGAGGGAGGAGCCCAGUGACUCCAUUACCAGUAGAGGAAGACAGUUACAUUGGAGAAGAUAAGAAGAGAAACCAUCAAAGGAAGAAGAUGAAGAUGGAGGAGGAGGAGGAGGAUCUCUCAGUAUCUACCGCUGAGGCUCAUAGUCAUUCAGUUAUUAUUGCUAAUGAUCCUGAUCCUAAUAGACUGGCCUUGGCGGAAAAACAACCGGGGAAUACUAAUGAGGGAGGGAGGGGCAACUGCCCCAAUUUUUACUAGACUGAGAAAAGAUGGAGUGAGUGGAGCUGCUGUGGCUGGAGAAAUGGCCGCCUACCUUUACUCUAAUGGAGAGACAUUCUCUUCACUGUUGGAAGACAUUUAUUUAAAAUAUGGUCGAGUUGUGUCAAGCAAUUCUUAUUUUAUAUGUGACUCAAAAGAAA
Molecule: long non-coding RNA, 513 nt
Filed under: Amphimedon queenslandica
Lineage: Eukaryota; Metazoa; Porifera; Demospongiae; Haplosclerida; Niphatidae
Description: uncharacterized LOC109592865, transcript variant X2
Source: RNAcentral